Molecule: ribosomal RNA, 77 nt
Filed under: Cryptomonas paramaecium
Lineage: Eukaryota; Cryptophyceae; Cryptomonadales; Cryptomonadaceae
Description: Cryptomonas paramecium partial Eukaryotic small subunit ribosomal RNA
Source: RNAcentral
CUGCCCGCACUUCCUCCCUGUCCCCAUGCAGCCUCAAUGAGCUUAAGUGCAACGAUCUCCAAGCGCUGGGGCGACUU